GGUGGAGCGAUUUGUCUGGUUAAUUCCGAUAACGAACGAGACUCUAGCCUGCUAAAUAGUUCGUCGAUGGCACUCUGUCGGCGCUAACUUCUUAGAGGGACAAGUGGCGUUCAGUCACACGAGAUUGAGCAAUAACAGGUCUGUGAUGCCCUUAGAUGUCCGGGGCUGCACGCGCGCUACACUGGCAAAAUCAGCGUGCUUGUCCUUCCCCGAAAGGGGUUGGUAAACCCUUGAAAAUUUGCCGUGAUUGGGAUCGGAAAUUGCAAUUAUUUUUCGUGAACGAGGAAUUCCAAGUAAGUGCGAGUCAUCAACUCGCUUUGAAUACGUCCCUGCCCUUUGUAC
RNAcentral lists this ribosomal RNA (342 nucleotides) under Nematoda environmental sample. Its description in RNAcentral is "bacterial SSU rRNA". It matches the Rfam family "Eukaryotic small subunit ribosomal RNA", at positions 1300 to 1665 of the family's 1831-position model. The record is from RNAcentral. Lineage: Eukaryota; Metazoa; Nematoda.